Molecule: transfer RNA, 84 nt
Filed under: Desulfofundulus salinus
Lineage: Bacteria; Bacillati; Bacillota; Clostridia; Eubacteriales; Peptococcaceae
Description: Desulfofundulus salinum tRNA
Rfam family: tRNA
About the family: Transfer RNA (tRNA) molecules are approximately 80 nucleotides in length. Their secondary structure includes four short double-helical elements and three loops (D, anti-codon, and T loops). Further hydrogen bonds mediate the characteristic L-shaped molecular structure. tRNAs have two regions of fundamental functional importance: the anti-codon, which is responsible for specific mRNA codon recognition, and the 3' end, to which the tRNAs corresponding amino acid is attached (by aminoacyl-tRNA synthetases). tRNAs cope with the degeneracy of the genetic code in two manners: having more than one tRNA (with a specific anti-codon) for a particular amino acid; and 'wobble' base-pairing, i.e. permitting non-standard base-pairing at the 3rd anti-codon position.
Source: Rfam by way of RNAcentral
GCGGCAGUGGCGGAAUUGGCAGACGCGCAAGAUUCAGGUUCUUGUGGGCGUACGCCCGUGGGGGUUCAAGUCCCUUCUGCCGCA